RNAcentral lists this ribosomal RNA (871 nucleotides) under uncultured Planctomycetia bacterium. RNAcentral's name for it is "bacterial SSU rRNA". It matches the Rfam family "Bacterial small subunit ribosomal RNA", at positions 54 to 932 of the family's 1533-position model. Lineage: Bacteria; Pseudomonadati; Planctomycetota; Planctomycetia. The record is from RNAcentral.
GGUGCAAGUCGAACGAAUCCCACUGCUGUAGCAAUACAGUGGUGGGGGAAGUGGCGAAAGGGGCAGUAAGGCGUGGGUAACCAACCCCGGGGACCGGGAUAGCCUUCCUAACGGAAGGGUAAUACCGGGCGAUGUGGCCGAGGCGCAUGUUUUGGCCAUGAGAUGAAUUUCGCCUCGGGACGGGCUCACGUGGUAUUAGCUAGUUGGUGAGGUAACGGCCCACCAAGGCAAAGAUGCCUAGCAGGUGUGAGAGCACGACCUGCGCCACUGGCACUGAGACACUGGCCAGACUCCUACGGGAGGCUGCAGUCGAGGAUCUUCGGCAAUGGGCGCAAGCCUGACCGAGCGACGCCGCGUGUGCGAUGAAGGCCUUCGGGUUGUAAAGCACUGUCGGGGGGGAGAAAACCGCAAGGUUGAUCUAUCUCCGGAGGAAGCACGGGCUAAGUUCGUGCCAGCAGCCGCGGUAAGACGAACCGUGCGAACGUUGUUCGGAAUCACUGGGCUUAAAGGGCGCGUAGGCGGGCUGCCAAGUCCGGGGUGAAAGCUUUCGGCUUAACCGGAAAAGUGCCUUGGAUACUGGCGGUCUCGAGGGAGGUAGGGGCAUGUGGAACUUCCGGUGGAGCGGUGAAAUGCGUUGAUAUCGGAAGGAACGCCGGUGGCGAAAGCGAUGUGCUGGACCUCUUCUGACGCUGAGGCGCGAAAGCCAGGGGAGCGAACGGGAUUAGAUACCCCGGUAGUCCUGGCCCUAAACGAUGGGUACUAGUAGUAGACUUGACAUGGGUUUACUGCCGAACAAAAGUGUAAGUACCCCGCCUGGGGAGUAUGGUCGCAAGGUGAAACUCAAGGAAUUGACGGGGGCUCACACAAGCGG